This 288-nucleotide ribosomal RNA is filed under the name uncultured bacterium. Its description in RNAcentral is "partial 16S ribosomal RNA". It matches the Rfam family "Bacterial small subunit ribosomal RNA", at positions 29 to 295 of the family's 1533-position model. The record is from RNAcentral.
AACGAACGCUGGCGGCGUGGAUAAGACAUGCAAGUCGAGCGCUGAUCACAGGGUAGCAAUAUUCUGUGGUUGGAGCGGCGCAAGGGUGCGUAACACGUGGGUAAUCUGCCGUGAAGUUUGGGAUAACUUGCUGAAAGGCGAGCUAAUACCGGAUGUGAAACUUGGAAGGCAUCUUCUGAUUUUCAAAGCUGGGACCGUAAGGCCUGGCGCUUCAUGAUGAGCCCGCGGCCUAUCAGCUAGUUGGUAAGGUAACGGCUUACCAAGGGCUAAGACGGGUAGCUGGUCUGA